UACAGAGGGUGCGAGCGUUAAUCGGAAUUACUGGGCGUAAAGCGCACUGAGGUGGCGACGUAAGUCGGGUGUGAAAGCCCCGGGCUCAACCUGGGAAUUGCAUUCGAGACUGCAUUGCUGGAGUACGGAAGAGGAGGGCGGAAUUCCCGGUGUAGCGGUGAAAUGCGUAGAUAUCGGGAGGAACAUCAGUGGCGAAGGAGGCCCUCGGGUGCAGUAGUGACACUCAAGUGUGAAAGCGUGGGGAGCAAACAGG
Molecule: ribosomal RNA, 253 nt
Filed under: uncultured bacterium
Lineage: Bacteria
Description: partial 16S ribosomal RNA
Rfam family: Bacterial small subunit ribosomal RNA
Source: RNAcentral